GACGAACGCUGGCGGCGUGCUUAACACAUGCAAGUCGAACGGAAAGGCCCUGCUUUUGUGGGGUGCUCGAGUGGCGAACGGGUGAGUAACACGUGAGUAACCUGCCCUUGACUUUGGUAUAACUUCAGGAAACUGGGGCUACUACCGUAUCGGAGCUCCUGCUGCAUGGUGGGGGUUGGAACGUUUCGGCGGUUGGGGAUGGACUCGCGGCUUAUCAGCUUGUUGGUGGGGUAGUGGCUUACCAAGGCUUUGACGGGUAGCCGGCCUGAGAGGGUGACCGGCCACAUUGGGACUGAGAUACGGCCCAGACUCCUACGGGAGGCAGCAGUGGGGAAUAUUGCACAAUGGGCGGAAGCCUGAUGCAGCAACGCCGCGUGCGGGAUGACGGCCUUCGGGUUGUAAACCGCUUUCGCCUGUGACGAAGCGUGAGUGACGGUAAUGGGUAAAGAAGCACCGGCUAACUACGUG
RNAcentral lists this ribosomal RNA (468 nucleotides) under uncultured bacterium. RNAcentral's name for it is "partial 16S ribosomal RNA". It matches the Rfam family "Bacterial small subunit ribosomal RNA", at positions 28 to 507 of the family's 1533-position model. The record is from RNAcentral.